RNA transcript from Gallus gallus (chicken), 8143 nucleotides. It is a transcript of the gene named intraflagellar transport 27, with no coding region annotated. The transcript has 9 exons. NCBI's taxonomy places the organism in Eukaryota, Metazoa, Chordata, Aves, Galliformes, Phasianidae. The record is from RefSeq and is marked validated.
GGCAGAGCGCGGUGGUGGUCGCCGCUGCCUUCCCGGCCCGCUGUCUCCGCCUUCCCCGAGCCAAGGCGAUGGUGAAGCUCUCCGCCAAGUGCCUGCUGGCAGGUGAUCCAGCUGUGGGGAAGAGUGCUUUAGCCCAGAUGUUCCGCAGUGAUGGGGCUAAUUUUCAGAAGAACUAUACAUUGACAACGGGCAUUGAACUGUUGGUGAAGGCUAUAUCAGUUCCAGAGACAAGUGAUAGUGUGUGUUCCUGGCAAGAGCCUUCUUUCUGCUUCUGCUUUCAGGAAUUCUUCAUUUUUGACUCUGCAGGCAAAGAUCUAUUUUCUGAGAUGCUGGAGAAACUGUGGGAGCAACCAAAUGUCCUGUGCCUUGUGUAUGAUGUCACUAAUGAGCAAUCUUUCAACAACUGUGCCAAGUGGCUGGAAAAGCUGAGGGCACAAGCAGUUGGAAUGCACAUCCCAGGUGUCUUAGUGGGGAAUAAAACAGAUCUGGUUGGUCGUCGAGUUGUGGAACAGAAACAAGCACAGGAAUGGGCUGACAAACAUGGCCUGGAAUACUGUGAGAUGUCAGUAAAGGAGAUGAAAAAUUUUGAGGCCCCUUUCAACAUCCUGGCAAAGUCAUUCUACCAACUGUACAAAGAAAAAGUGGAAACUUUUCACUCACUAGCUUGAGGGCCGUGACUGGAAUGACUUAACUUCAGAGCUUCUUCUAGUGCCCAGAAUCCUAUGGACUGGAAUACAGAGAGAGGAAAAAAGAUGAGCUUUUUGCUUCUGCACAGUCAUCUUCUGGUAAUUCAAAAUAAACUAGAAAUAAGGCUCACUGCCAAUGCACAAAGACCCAGUGGACCUGGGAAUGUAAAUGCCACUGUUCUAGUGCAGGGUGUUUCCUGCUUGCUGAACUACAAUGUACCUGAGCAUCUGCAACCUGUGGACUGCCUAUUUCCAGUGUACCUGCUUGACUGCUAGGAGCUGUUUAUGAUGGCAGGGAAUAACAAGCCUGAAAUUCCAUGUUCCUGCCUCUGAGCUUUCUUCUCCUAUGUGCAUCCCUCUGACCCCUGCAUGGAAUGGGGAAGAUGGUAGAGAAAUGCCUGACCGUGCCCUCUUCCAGACCUGCUCACCAGGUCAGAGCUGGCAACAACAGAGCAAAGAAAUCAGUGGAGAACCAAGGAGGACUGUACCCGCAAGCCCUUGGAGACAUUUGGCCAGCCUCUGCUGAGGAUGGUGCUGCAGAGGAGCCUCAUACCACCAGCAGAGAGAUGUCACCAAGGCUCUGAGACUGGUUUGGUCAAGCUGGAAGAACCAAGUGCUCUCCCUGGCACUGCUGGGAGUUGAUUUGCUCUGCAUAAGAGUCCUCACCUGCCAUGAUUUUCCACAGACUGUAAACUCUGCUCUCAGACCUUUUCCAGAAAAUAUCACAAGUGGCUACUAGCUGCAGUGAAUGAUUGAAAGUGGCAAAUCCUGAUGAGUAACUUCUGAUUUCAUUUCUAUUAAAAAAAUUUUGUUGAUAUAAGAGUCGUCUGUUAAGAUGACAUUUAGAUAUCAAAACAGACAUUCAGAUUUUCAGAGUCAUUUGGAGCUUCUUCAUGUCUGUAAAAUCAAUGUGAGAUGCUGACUGCUCAGCAUAACUGGAAAUCAAGACAGUUCUUCAAUGUCUAAACAUGGGGUUAGAAGCUUAAAUACACGUGUUUUGCUUUCUUUUUAAAAUAGGCCCCCAUUCCCAAGAAAGGGAAUGUCACCUCUACAGCUUCUGUUCAUGUACACUUUUCUGUGCAUCGCUAUAAUGCUGUGGUCUAGCAUCUGACUGUCUUAACUCAAUGUGUUUAACCUAAUUCCCCUAUAGGAAUUCACUCUCAGGACCCUAAACAAUUAUGAAAGUAAUACAAAACCAAAUCCUAGGAAUUCAUUUGAUGGCUCUGUGGCCAAAAUACACCGUCUGGCUUUCACUGAAACAGUGUCUGAAGUACAUGUACAUUUCAUGAGAUGUCUCCCUGAUGAUAAGAUGCUACAAAAAGAAAUCCUUCUCAUUUUAAAAUUAGUUGCCUGUUAUCACUGAUGUCAGUGGGACUCGGUGAUUAUGAAUUUUCUAAGAUUCUCUACUUGCUGGGCUGUCAAUUAGGUGCUGGGAUACAUGUUUCUCUUGAUUUGUCCCUCUGAAAAGUCAGAUGGAUGAUAUGAUCUAUCCCAGAGGCUAACCAUUUUUCUUAAUUUGCUUAGGAUGUUCUUUCAAGAGACUUCUUUAAUUCUGGUGGGGGUUUUUUUGUUUGUUUGUUCGUUUGUUUUCACUGAGCAUCAGAGAAAUUAAAAGUUCCUUAUUUCUUCUGUGAUACCCUAAGCUAUGUGACAGAAGAAGAGCUAAGGAUGCCCUGAAGAAGACAAUUGGUUAUAUAGUUUCUUUGCAGAAGGAUUACCUGUAUCAUUAUCUCCAGACCUAGAAGAGCAAGUUUGUCCCAUACAGAAAGUCUCAGCAAUGCCUUGGUGGCUGUUGAGGACCAGAGGAAAAGCUGGUGUUCAGACUGGACCGUGGCUUUAAAUUAUAAUACUGAAUAGAUGAGACUGCACAGGAUCCUCUUUGUCCUCAUCUGCGCCCUUUACACUGGAGGAAAGUCUGAUGUCGGAGAACACUGAUCAAGGUCAACAUGAAGCAUCCUCACUGUAGGCCUCACCUUUCCUCCAGCAUUUAUCACUGUGCUGAUAUUUCCAGGAAGCUUCCAAAAACCUUCAAUUCAGAAAGAAAAGAAGCCCAACAACUUCUCUUUCUCACCUUAUUCUUUACAGUUCUCUGAUUACUCCUAUGUUUACAUGAAAACAGGGUUUUUUCUUCUUUAAGAGUCAAACUGCAGCUGCUGCAUAUUUCUUCCCUGAAAUUUUAUAUACCUAUUUGUCAGGAAAUCAUGGCUUUUUUAACCCAUAGAUACUUAGCAAUAGAGACCAUCCCUGAUCAUGAGAGGUAGAUCUGGUGUGAGUUCUGGCUAUAGUUAAUUGAUGGAUGGGCAACGGAUUUAUUAUGAACAAGACCAAGUUAUUUGUGCCCGUAUUUCAUGUAGUUCCAGUGAGACGCAUUGCUCUGUGGUCUAUUCUGAAGACCUUUUCCCUUGUGUCUUGACUUUAAGCAGAUUCUGAUCACAAAGCCUGUGCUAUAUUCUUUUUACUAACUUUUUGUGAGGAAUGUGUGACUCAGCUUGGGUUUUUUCCUCCUCUUAUUUGUAUCCUUUAGCUCUGCUUUUUAGGCAUUUGUUUAUUCAGUUAUCAAGGCUCUGUACCUCUUUACCCUGUUUCCUGGAAUGUGCCUCCAUGACUGGAUUUAUAUGGAUGUCUGUGAGAACAGUGUAUGCCUGAUUUUGCAUAUGGAUGGAAAAGCAAAAACAAAACAAAACAAAAAAAGAUUCAGAUGAAGAAUCUGAGGAUUCAGCAACAGAAUAGGAAUGGCAUACGAAUAAGCAGGUAUUAAACUGGAUUUCUAUGGGACUUAGUUUAUCAAGGAGUAAGGAUGUGUAGAGGAAUGCAUUUAUUUACACACAGGAUAGACCAGCGUGAAGGUAGAGUUGAAUUAUAUAUCAAGUGCAUAGUAAUGUACACUCUGGAGUGGAAAAUUAUGAGGGACAUCAUCUGAGUGAAGAGGGUAGUGUCUUUAGUUUAACACAGGCAAAUACAUGGAAUAGACAUUCUGAUAAGGUGGGGAAUUUUCCUGUAACUAAUUGUCUGUUUUGGUCAUAUUCAGUAAGUUUGCAUGUGUAUGCAUAUAAAUCCUCACUGAGGAUACUCUACCAAAUGCUGUAAUUCCAGCUAGAGUGAUUGGUUAGCAGCUGCCCUCUGUUACAGUUAAUGGGUUGCAGGCAUUGAUUCUUUUUUUUUCUCUAUUCCUAUUGAUUAGGAGGCUGCUGUCCACACAAACCUCAGCACAGCAUGUAAAGGGGAAGAGAGGCAAAACAGUUCUCAUCCCAGCAAUUCAUCAUGGCAGAAAUGUCAUGCUGGGAGUCCCAAUCUUCUCUCACUAUCCCUUUCAAGUAGAGAAGGACACCUUUCCCUUUUUGAAGAAUUCAGUUCAUAAGGCAUGAGAUGACUUCUUUUUCUUCUUGCCGUUUGAGGUAGCAAACAUUUCAGAGGUUGCCAUUCAGUGGAAAAAAACACUGUGUGACACAAGGGAGUGUUGCACUGGAAGAACUGGUGCUUUAGCUUCAAGACUCAAUGUGCAACAAAUUUCUUGGAUAACCAUUGAUACUCAAUUCAUUUAUGACAAUACUUGGAUCUCACUAACAUCAGUGCAUAGACUUUGGCUUUGGUGGGGUUUGUGAUUUCAGUGCCUCAGUGCCUCCACAAAGUGAUUUAAGUGUUGCAUUGUAAGAGUGUUUUAUGGGUAAAUGACUUUUUUUUUUCCAAAGUGUUUGUCUUAGACAAGGAUAUAUGUCAGAAACGGAGGGAGUUACGUACUACAGCCUUAUAUUCUCACACUUGGUCCACUAGUUUCUAAUGUAGCUUUUUUAUGCACUCUUGGGAUAGCCCCAGCAUCACUUUUGCACAGAGACUUCCUCAGUUUAUUUGUGAGACCUCUGUACCAUGUCUCCGCUCUUUUUUUUUCCUUUCUGAUCAUAGUGUUAUGCUAGAGAUGAAUUUCAUAUAGUAUUCAAAUAUUUGAUGUUUACACUGUCUUUUAUGUUGAUCCUCAAGUUAAAAGACCUGAAGUUAAGGAGAGAGGACCACUGAGGAUUUGUACACUUGUAUUUAUCUCUCUAUCAUCUCCACACGUGAUUCUCAGACAAAACACAAAUUUUCUUCUUUCUUCAGUUUGCUAGUUGGUUAAACUGGUCUAAGAAAACCACCAGCAUGCAGAUAUGAUGUAAAUAAUGUUUCUUACGUAUUUUGGGUUCCCCAGCUUUGGAUGCCAGUGAUGACUGCUCUGAUCACCCUCUCUGCUUGUCUAAACACACGGAUAUAUGGGGUUUUUUUCAACCUUCUCCAGUGAAACUUCUUAAAUAUUAAUUCCUUUUCUGGAUCAUAUCUCACUUCUAUCUUUCUGCCCCAUUGGUUUUCAGUUCUAUAAUCAUCACUCUAACCCCAAUUUAUUUUUCCUAACAUCUCCUCUGCUGGUGCAGUUGUCUAUUAACACCUCUGCUCUGCCUGCAAAUACAACUGCAUCAACUCCAUCUCUUUUACAUCUCAUUACAGCAGCUCCUUCUGAGAUGGCCUGCCCAGUAUGAAGAUUCCUAGAUACCAAAUCACUGUCUGAUUUUAUCCUGAGCCAAAAAUCUCCAUUGCAGCACUCGAUCCAGAGAUACUUUAUUCAGCUCCAUUACCAUCCCAUAGUGUUGCUUCCGACUUCAUGCCCUUCAUCUCCCUUCCUGUAUCUUUCUCAUGCCCCUUUCUUUCCUACAGCACUGCCCCUUCUCUCCACAAAUAGCAGCACUCUUGGUUUGCCAUUGGAAGCAGACUUCCUGCGGCUCCUUGUCUCAUCAGCUUCUCAUUUCAAGUAAUUUAAAAUGUAAUUUAAAAUCUCUCUAUUUCCUCCAGACUAUUAAUUUCUCUCUCCUUACUCUUCUAUAGCUGUCAUUCUGUGUUGCGCUAUUCAGUAAGAUGCGACUGUUGUAAAAUUCUGCCACAGUGUUUUUAAUCUGUAUUCUUGUUUUGUAUUAUCAUUUUUAACGAUUCUUUGUAGGAAAGAUGAAAUCUCAGCACAGCAUCUAGCCACAGCACAAGCAGUCACAUAGGACAUUCUGGCAUUUGCAUUGCCUUUGUUCCGUUCUUCUCCAGCGGCAUUUAGAACUACUGUAGAGGGAUUAUUGUGAAUGGUUUAAGAGGAUAUAAGUAGGGUAGCAGGAAGAGAAUUAUUUCUGAAAAUUGGGAAGUGUGAGGCAGGAAGUCACCUUUAGUCCUGAUCCUGAGACAUAAUGAACCAUCACAGGACCCACUGCUCUUAGCCAGAGAUUAAAGGACUCAUUGUUCUGCAGGCCUGGCCUUCUUACACUGGCAGUUUCUUUGGAGAGAAUGCAUUCCUGUCCUGUUGCUGGAGUCAUUUGAAAUCAAACUUGUAAAAUCUGCAGAAAUACAUAAUAAAGGCAACAGUUACAGAUUAGUUUGAGGGCCUCUGUUUUGGCCCAUCUUCUGCUUCAUCCUCUGAAAUUGUCUGAAUUAGUCUAAUGUAAGGAUAAGUAAUCCAGCAGUUCCAGCAGUAUUUUUCUAGUUACAGAUGAAAUCUGUGAUUUUUGUCUGUGCUGGGAUGCCUUGCGAGUCCCAGUCCACAACUUCCGCAGUGGCUGUUCGCUCACUCUACUUGUCUCGCUCUACUCAGUUACCAACAGAAGCUACCAAAAGACAGCUCCCAUUUGCACAGCCCCACAUGCCCUGAUCUGAAGGGGCAUUCCGAUUUGUCACAGUAAAAUAAGCAUUUAACAGCAUGGGUGCCCAAGGGAGCCCUCAGUGAAAAUACACCUUCUCUCCCUGUCCUUUUUGGAUGACCCUGCUGUUUGAGCACAAGUGAGGUUCCGUAAGGCCUGAGUCCUUUCUGCUUCCCCUCGCUCCAGCCAGGUUACUCUGUGACAUUUCUGGGAGAGCUGUACUGCACUAUUUUGAGAGCACUAAGUAACUGAAGAGCCCACUUUGCUUGGACAAAUUUCCAGUGUGUCUUUCCCUUAUGCUUCCUUCUUUCAUCAGAAAGCAUUCAGGAGCAGAGAAGUCCUAGAGUGAUCUUGUGUAGCUUCCCUUGCUAAAAGCCUUGCAGAACCUCCUCCUCAUCACAAGCCACUUCUGUAGAGCUGUAAUCUCCCACCAUCUUAGGGGGAUUCUCUGUAUCUCUCCACCCUUCAUUUGAACCAAGGCCAACAGUUCAGAGGGCCUGCCCACAGCUACCCUGCUCACCACUAUUCCACCAGGCUGAAAUGCACAGCCCACAAGGGCCACCUCCUCCCUUGCCCAUCCUCAGCUGUUUGGCAGCUCCAUGAGUGCAGAGAAGAAGAAAAAAAAAAAAAAAAAGAAAAAAAACCCAGUUUUUCCAAGAGAGAAGAAGGCCAGGACCCCUCCCCCACCCUUCCCCCCCCAGAUGAGGCUACAAACUGUGCUUGUCCCCCAGCAAUGUAUUAGUGGGCCCAACCUGCAUUGUCACCUGCCUCAUCCCCCAUCCCUUCUGCCUCCCCAGGACCUGCUGGUAGCAAUCUGCAUAUGGCUGAUGCCACACACCAUCCGUGCUUGCUGGUAAACACCCCACAAUGUUCUCAGCUCCCUGCUGAACAGAGGAAAUGCUCAGCUGCCUUUUGUGCCCCCUCCUCUCCUGCUGCUUGCCAUAGAGCCCUUCAUGUCCAACAGUCCUGGGGGAGAUUGUCCUGAAAUGGCAGUCCCAGGCUGCACCCAGAGAAGGACAAUGAAGGAGAGAAAUGGAGUUAUGAAAUUACAAUGUGGCCAAAGCCCUCCGACUGGUUCAACUACCCGGCACCCCCUCCCCUCAGCCCCUUAAUUCCCCUAGAAGAGCAGUGAACCUAAUGCAGCCCUUCUGGUCUCUCAUUCACCGAACAAUGAAUCUGAUCAGAGUGAAACAAAAUCGGAGGCAUCAUGAAUUAGAUGAUUUCUUUUCUUUUUGAUUGCUGCAUUAAUGAGCAGCUACACGUAUAGAACGAGGAGGUGACUAAUGUAAUUAACCUGAUGUAAUGAUACUGCUGAGGAAGGGAGAGACAGUUAUGACAUACGAAGAUGUUAGCAUUGCACAAUUUUAUAUACGUUCUCAGUACUAUCAGGUUGUGUCUGACACAAAAACUUAAGCACUGAUAGAUUUCAGUCUGCAUCCAUUCACCUCAUGCAUCUUUCUGUGGAAAAAGAGGAUUGGAAGGUGGGAUAUUUUCUGGGGCUGGGGGAGAGAAAUUCAGUUUGGUGGUCCCUUUCCUUAGCAAAAUCACAGUAAUAACAAGAAAUCGACCUUUCUUGUGAAGAAUCUUCCCAAAAUGUCUGCUUCUUGAAGCAAGCUAUGGGAUUUCACAGAAAGCUAUGAAGAGAAAGUCAAAACGCAGGGAUUCACACAACAUUGGUCAGGGGGAGACAGAGGGACGGAAAACGAGCAACACCAAAACAUAUGCAACUUGCAGCAAAGCUGAGAAGAGUGAGAAGCGAGCACUUAAAAAUAAUAACGGCAACAAAAAUAAGAGAAAUAAAUGCUUAUUUUUAAAUUA